UGCCCAGCAACUCCUAUCCCUACCUCCACGCGGUACCGGCCGAAAACUAUGAGCAACCUUAGGGAAGAUCGGGUAACCAACCCCGGUGGGAACUUUGGUCGUAGGCUGACAGGGAAGG
Molecule: non-coding RNA, 118 nt
Organism: Aedes albopictus (Asian tiger mosquito)
Lineage: Eukaryota; Metazoa; Arthropoda; Insecta; Diptera; Culicidae
Source: Rfam